Molecule: ribosomal RNA, 859 nt
Filed under: Ochromonas sp. CCMP1393
Lineage: Eukaryota; Chrysophyceae; Chromulinales; Chromulinaceae
Description: partial Bacterial small subunit ribosomal RNA
Rfam family: Bacterial small subunit ribosomal RNA
Source: RNAcentral
GGAAUUUUCCGCAAUGGGCGAAAGCCUGACGGAGCAAUACCGCGUGAGGGAAGAAGGCUCUUGGGUUGUAAACCUCUUUUCUGAGGGAAGAAAAAAAUGACGGUACCUCAGGAAUCAGCAUCGGCUAACUCCGUGCCAGCAGCCGCGGUAAUACGGAGGGUGCGAGCGUUAAUCGGAAUUACUGGGCGUAAAGCGCACGCAGGCGGUUUGUUAAGCUAGAUGUGAAAGCCCCGGGCUCAACCUGGGAAUUGCAUCUGUGACUGCAUAGCUAGAGUACGGUAGAGGGGGAUGGAAUUCCGCGUGUAGCAGUGAAAUGCGUAGAUAUGCGGAGGAACACCGAUGGCGAAGGCAAUCCCCUGGGCCUGUACUGACGCUCAUGCACGAAAGCGUGGGGAGCAAACAGGAUUAGAUCCCCUGGUAGUCCACACCGUAAACGCUGUCUACUAGCUGUUUGUGACUUUAAGUCGUGAGUAGCGAAGCUAACGCGAUAAGUAGACCGCCUGGGGAGUACGGCCGCAAGGUUAAAACUCAAAUGAAUUGACGGGGGCCCGCACAAGCGGUGGAGCAUGUGGUUUAAUUCGAUGCAACGCGAAGAACCUUACCUACACUUGACAUGUUGAGAAGUUACCAGAGAUGGUUUCGUGCCUUCGGGAACUCAAACACAGGUGCUGCAUGGCUGUCGUCAGCUCGUGUUGUGAAAUGUUGGGUUAAGUCCCGCAACGAGCGCAACCCCUAUCAUUAGUUGCCAUCAGGUUAAGCUGGGAACUCUAAUGAAACUGCCGUCGCAAGACGCGAGGAAGGAGGGGAUGAUGUCAAGUCAUCAUGGCCUUUAUGCCCAGGGCUACACACGUGCUACAAU